UGUGGAGAUGUGGCCCUGAGGGACAUGGGUUAGUGGGCAUGAUGGGGAUGGGCUGACAGUUGGAUUAGAUGAACUUAGAGGUCUUUUCCAGCUGUAGCAAUUCUACGAUUCUAUGAUCAUGAUUUUACUUUUGAUACUGCUGUAUAACCUGUGGCUGGCGAGUGCAAGGCUGAGCCUGUGCAGGGAUAUUUAAGAUUCCAGUUGUUAGAUUUAUUUUAGGAAUCAAAGGCAGUUCCGUGGCCUGUGCCACUGGUAAAAACAACUCAUAUUGCUCUCAAGUCUGUAUGGCAUCACUGCGUGUGCUCAAAAUGAGUAGACCUGUAUUAUGUUUUCCAGGCACCCUGUUUAAAUGCUCUGAAGUUUGUACAGCUGGAAUAUAAACCCUACCUUCCUCACACCGAAUGAAUGGCUGGAGAAGAGCCCUAAAGGCGUGUUCACACCGGUGACACACUACCAGCAGAGACUGCCGUUAAAGACCAUUGCCCCGAUCUUAUCGCACGAAACAACAGCCACGAACAGAGGUGCCCUCCCGCCUCGGCAGCCCUGCCGUACAGCUGCAGGCUGGCUGCGGGGCUCCAGCGCCCAGCAGAGGGAGGCAGAGCCCGCCGCAACCGCUCUGCUCUCUGCUUGGAGCAUCCCUGCAGCUUGGAGGAACAACGCGGUCCCCUCAAAGCCCGUCCAAAAACAACCAUCUCCAUCAGCUCCAGCAUUCUGAGGCAUGUCCGUCACUCUCAAAAGUAACCCGCGUGGAGAUAGCGUGUGGAGGUGCAGAUUGGUGAUGUUCCGGCAUGUCCUGCAAGCCAACCUGUCCACAAAAAUCUGCCAAGGGCCUCACAUCUCCACUCUGGGAGUCUGUCAGGUCAAGCCCCCUCUCCAAAAGCAGAACACAUCAGGCUGGAGGCACACAUCUGGCCAGCGGCACUUCCUAGUGGUGGUAUCUGUGGCCAGCAGAGCACACUCUGACACCUCUGAGGUUGGCUGAGCAGCUGUGGGCAUCCCAGGAGAGCAUCCAUCCACCAAGACACCCCACCAGACUUCAUUUCUCUGUUGCCUGCAAAAGGAGAAAGCUCACUGCAUCCACUGAGCCUCCUUGACACUGGGCUGUAUCCUUCGUAAAUAUAUAAGUAUAUCCUAUAUUUAUAUCUCAGCAUCUCUGCUGUCAGAACCAUAUCACAGACUGGGAUUUGCCCCACUAAAAGCCAGUCAUCCAAAGCAACCACAGAAGUUCCUUCUGUCAUAUUAUCUUGAGGCAGUAUGGGAUGAAACAUGAAAAGGAAACCGUGCAUGAGGCAGCCUGAUGGAGACAUGGCCUGGGAAGAUGCAGUGCUGCUUCUCCUUUUACAUUUGUUGCUAACACAAAGGCAGCUGCUGCUAUUACAGCAGCAUUAGCCAUGGUUAAUCAUGUAGCUCAACCUGUCAUGACUGCAAAAUAAUUGAUAUUGAUUCUGAUGUUGGCCUGGAGCUAAUAUGAUACCUUUUGAUAGGAAGAAAGUGUUUUGUCCACAGGUUUGAACUUCAAUUUCAGUUGAGAAAACAAUGAAGAUGUGGUUGAGAACAGCUUAUUUUUCUCUAUGUUUUCAACUAAAAAUGUCAGAUGAUUUCCCAUAAUUAACCAUUAUUGCAUAGAUGUGAAAAUCAUCAUCUGUUAUUUUCAAGGUAUUUCAGAUAUUAUUUUAAAAUAUUUCAAUUAAAAAACAAAACCACGAGGAAUGUCUGAAAAUAUAAAAAGUGAAAUAAAUUCAAAUUACUUAAACUCUGUCA
Numida meleagris (helmeted guineafowl) is the source of this 1761-nucleotide long non-coding RNA. The record is from Ensembl. NCBI's taxonomy places the organism in Eukaryota, Metazoa, Chordata, Aves, Galliformes, Numididae.